Long non-coding RNA from Crotalus tigris (Tiger rattlesnake), 9570 nucleotides. RefSeq lists it as uncharacterized. The record is from RefSeq and is a predicted model, not a curated record. Lineage: Eukaryota; Metazoa; Chordata; Lepidosauria; Squamata; Viperidae. The transcript is spliced from 2 exons.
GGCAUUCUGUCUUUAUUAAACAAUGGCAAGUGCUUGAAUCAAUUGGUUGUUUGGAUCGAGUCAUCUGAAGUCAUCUAAAUCAGAGGUCCCCAGCCUUCUGGGCACCAGGGACUGGUUCCGUGGAGAGAGGUUUUUCCACGGACCGGAGGGGGCAUGGUUUUGUAUGUUACCUGCACCCCAUGGAUGGGACUUUGUUUGUGCGGCCCAUUUGCUGGCAUGCCAUGGCUCGGUACUGGUCCAUGGACUGGGGAUUGGGGACCCCUGAUCUAAAUCCCCAAUCCUGCUACUGCUGUUUUAGGCACACAAAUAAUUCCUAGUGAUAUCAUAGCAGCAUCUAUCCUAAUCUUGAUAAUUAUAUUUAUAUGCAGUAGCUACCUAGCUCAUAAACAUGACUCUGGGCAGCUUACCAUAAACACAAAUCAUAAAAGAAACAAGCAUUGAAAUUAUGCCAUAAUAAAAAAAUAUUAUUUAAAAAGACUAGGGGAGAGUAUCUUCAAUGUUACAUAUGUUUAUUUAUUCACCUUUCCAAGCACCUAACAGUCCAAAUCUGAUCUUAUUUAUUUUGACAUCUGCCAACCUUGAUGAGGUUCUGCUCUCUUUAUAAUGUUCAGAACUGCCUUCAACCUCAGAUGUACUGGACUACAAUUCCAUGAUGCCUGUCACAGUGUUCGUAUUGGGAGGUCACUUCAUUGUUACCAAUUACCCUGUAGCUCAUAUCAAAAUACAAAAUAAAACAUUCAGAAUAAAACAUAAAAUAUGUUUAAAACAGCAGAACUAUAUGUAAAAGAGAAGUACAGGAAACAAAUUAAAUAGAGGCUAAAUAAGAAAUAUUUCUGUUAAUUUACCUCUAUCAGACCUAUACAGUAGGUAUAUCUCAGCUGGACUGUUUUAUUGAAAUAAAGGAUUGUAUUGUAUGCAGUUUGGGGAUGACCACACAUGAAAUGGAUAGUUCUAAUAUGAGGGUCCCAAUUAGUUUGCCUGUCUGAUGUGCAACCCAAGAAGCCAGUCUCUCUUUCUUAUACAUCUGAUACUCAAAUAAUAUAUGUAUUAGGUCUUCUAUUGCUGGAGCUCUGCCAAUGUAAAUACAUUUCUUAUAAGGAACUUCAUUAAAUCAUCCAUAUUUAAUCAUUGUAUCCAGCAGCUCAAAUCUUGUGUUUGUAAAUACCUCCCUAAGAUGUUUUGGCAUUUCUAUUUUUAGAUAUUUGGCAAUUUGGAAGGUGCCAUUUAUAACAGCUCAUCCAUUUCAGCGAGCCAAGCUUGUUGAAGUUGGCUAUCUCUGUUGGUGCAUCUAUAUGUAUUGGUGGGCAGUAAUGUGAAUGGGGAACCAGCAUAUCCAGAAUAUAGGAUGGGGAAUGAAUAGUGAUAACAUUUACACCCUAUUGCAACGUUGUUGUUUACCUUUUUUUAAGAAUUGACACACGAUUGUGCUGUGUGGUACUAAGAUUUGACAUCAACUCGAUAACCCAAUCAGCCACCUUUAAUAGCUAUGAAUUGUUUUUAGACUGCUCAUUAUUCACAAUGGCAGUCUUUGCUGCUACGAUAGAUGUCAAUGUGGAUAUUCCAAUUACUGUACAUAAAAACUUGAGUAUAUGGGUAUCUCUUCCAAAGCAGGCCUGCUUACCAGAAUAUUAUUAGUCCACUUGAAUUUUAUCGUUUGGCUGUUUUUCCAGAAGAUCUAGAGCAAAAAUGUGGUCCUAGGAUCCUUGAGAGUUCCCCAAUAUCUUUUCGGGGGGUCCUUAAAAUCAAAAUUAUUUGCCAACUUAUGUUGAAAAAUAAUACAAUAUUAAAAUUUCAUCCAACAAUCUUGGGCAGCAGUGGCAGCAGCAAAUGGAUCAAUUUUUAAUAUGGUAAAUAAUCAAUAUAACCCAUUCAAGCAAAACAUUUUUGGGGAUCCUCUAUAACUUUUAAAAGAGGGAAGGGAUUCUGAGAGAAAAAAGUUUACCGAUCUAGGGGGUGGAAAGAGAAAUUUUGAUUUGCUUACAACUGUUCAGAUAUGCUUUGUCACUUAGGUGAAAAGUUCAAGCUCUUUUCUUCAAAAACCAAUACAUAACUAAUGCAAAACAUGCUUUAAGACUGCUUUUAAUUGAAUAGCUUUUAUAAAUAAACAAAAUAAAAAGCCCAGUAUAAAUUGAAAAGACAGGAAGGGGAAAAGGAAAGAGAAAACAAUCGUAACAAAAAAAAUAUAUCUUUAUUUAGCAUUGACUUCCCUAAACGAAAGGGAAUGCACUCUGCAUAUGCUCCGAGACAUCCAGUCCAAGGCAAUACUCAUGCUUGAAACUCCUGCCCAUUAAGCAAAUCAAACUCUGCAACCCUAAUCAACUAUACGUACAAACCAUAUGGUGAAUCCAAAGAACAUAUAACCAUCUCCCGAAGCGAAAAUGCAAAGAACGAGCAGCGGCCGUGAUGAGAAGAGGCAAAGCCAUCUUUAUGGCCUUUGCCAGGACUCCCGUGUAAAGAAUACAUUCCGUCUGAACGGAGGAUCCCAGCUCGGCUUUUGAAAGCAACGAUCCCCCCAGGACCGGCUUUUUCAAAAUCCAUUUGCUCUCCCCGGUGAGGAAAGCGCGUCGCUCCCCGUUAAGUGCAAGCGUAGCAAUUCCGCCGCUCCCGCUUGCAAGCCGGCGCUGCAGUCCGGUCCUCCGCCGUUGCCUCCAACUCUCCACCCCCCUUCCACCUUCACCUCGUGGUGGGGUUCAAAAUGGCUGCUUUCCCUCCUCCCCCUCCUGAAACUGUAAUCCGCCUCGCUCCGAGCGGCCGAAGGAAGCCGGAGCGAGGUAUUCCCCCAGAAAUCACGAGCGGCUGCCCUUUGUAUUUACGCACGGUGGGAAAUCCGGCGGUGCGAAGGGCACCCGGGCUCCUUCGCCUCGGCGGAUUAUUCUCUAUUCCCAGGGGGAACCGAGGUCCCAGGACUCGCUUCUGCGCCGUUCGGGCUUUAGAGGAAUACUCGUGCGCGGCCAGGGACCGGAGUGAAUGAGGAUCGCAACCGUUCUUGUUUCUUUUGCACGCUGUGCAGAAAAAUCGCCGCACUGGUUUGCAGGGGGAAGGUGUCGGGCGCUGCUCCUUUCGGGAUUGCAAAACUGGGGGGUGGGGGGGGGAAAGGUAGGAAGAAAAAAAAAUAGAAGAAUGUCCGCCUGCUUAGAUUGGAUCUCUCGCAAUCCUCUCCCCCCCCCCCGCGGAUCCCGAGCACGAGGCGCGUGGAACCGCGAAUGGAACGUGAAUCCGGAACCUUCCUUCCACUGGCUGCUUUUCCCUGCUGCUAGCCCGUCAGGCGCGGUGGCCAAGUGGUAAGGCGUCGGUCUCGUAAACCGAAGAUCGCGGGUUCGAACCCCGUCCGUGCCUCACGUUGGACGGCGCAGCGCCGCGGCUUGGUACGAAAGGGAACGAAGUGGGAUUUCCUUUCUCAGGCCACUUUUUACUCGGGUUCCAUAAUUGAGGAAAAAUACCAAGCGGAAAUGGAGAAAUGGGCUAGCCUGCAAAAGAUGUAAGGGUUAAAAAAAAAAAACCUGUUGGGGGAAAUGUGAGUCUGGAUUAAAGAAGCGGAUUCGGCUUGCAAAAAUAGGGAUUAACAAUCCCGAGAAGAGAAACUGAAACGUUGUUCCUAUGGGAAACUAGUGCUGCCAGGCCUGAAUUGCAGAAGUCCGAUCGAUCACCGAGAAAAAGAUACAGAAGCCGCCCCUGCCAUCUAGUGGUCGUCCGCAUAUUCCCCGCGUAAAUCUUCCAAAUUUCGAGAAGCCGAACUGCAGAAUGUCGGGACCGGUGUUGGAAUGAUUCUCACCAGCGAUUUUAAAUUAAGCUGCUACAAAAAAAAGAGAACAGUAACUUGGCACUGUUUUCCCCCCGUUGUGCGGUAUUGCACGGGAAAUGCCCUUCGCUUCCAUUUUUUUCCGUAAUGGCGGGAAGGCUUGCAAAUGAAAAGCCGCAGCAGCCCACCUGCUUGGGCUCUCUCAGCCAGCCCUCUCCUCCUACAUCCGAAAGGAGAAUGGCUGGGUUGCUUUGCAAACGGGAGGAUUUCCCAACGUCGAGGCUGCGGAAUCUUCAGAAGCGCCUCAAGGCAAAUCACAACGUUGCAUUUUCUCUUUCGGGGAUGGAGGUGGGAUGGGGGGGACUUGUGCAUAUUGCCCUAAGCCUAAGAGGAGGAGAGCCGACUUUGAGAAGUCGGGUCAUGAUGGAUGCCAGCCUCCCCCCCCCCCCCAAAAAAAUAUCUAAGGGAACUCGGAGAACUGCACGGUCCUCUUGAAUUAGGGGAUUGAUCUAACGGAAAGCUUUGCCCUCCGACCGACGCGGGGUAGUUCCGCGCUUGCUAAUCUGGAGGAGUCUCGGGCUCCCGUUUUAAACACGGCGGUUGUGGUUGCACUGCGCGCGGGAGCGCGCGCCGCAGAAAGCCAUGCCGGAAGCAGCCGCUGAGGAGAAGGAAGAAAAGCGCCUUUUUUUUCUUCCUCCUCCCAGUCGAGUCCGCGUGACGAGAUCAUUAAUGCAGUACUCGGUUUUCCCCAACCAACCAAUUGCCGCGUGCUUCAUUGCCGGAUUCGGGGAAAGCCCCUCUGUCCUCGGGUGCUGUUUGCUAGAAAAGUAUGUUAGUAUGCUUCAGACGUGAGUUGUGCCUCGAGCACGCAAAAGGAAGGCACGAGUCGGAAUUCGGCGCGGGAGCCGUAGAUGAGCCAAUCUGGUUCUAGUGGGGAAGGGUGCUGGCCCAGAAACCAGGAGGUGUGACCUUUGAUACUAUUGACCAUAACCAGCUACAUGGUUCGGGAACUGAGAGGCCCAAUGUUGCAGUGGUUCUCCCUUCAUCACGGCUGAUUCCAGUCAGUGUUGACAGUAGAGAGCUGGAGCCUGCGAUCCCUAACCUGUAGGGUGCCCACAAGGCUCAACUCGCUUGAUUUUCUUUUUUGUAAAAAGUAUUUUUUAUUGAAGAUUUUUUUUACAAAGUAAAAAGAUAAACAUGAAAAAUAUAGAAGUAAGAAAUAUACAGUGCUGAGAAAAAGAGAAACCAAAGAAGCUACUUCCAAUCUUCUCUACAGCAGUUAUAUACCUAAUACUGUUCCCCUCUUUCAAUUCAUCCCACACACAAGCCUUUUUAAUCGAUAUAUAAAUCACUUUUCAAAUAAAAUCAAAUCAUUUUUAUCAAUUUUCAGCAAAAAAAGUCUAGUGUUUUUUUAUAUAUAUAAAAGUAGUUGUUGCUACCACUCUAAUCAAACAAGUUAUUUUAGCAAUUUCUGCAAAUUCCACCAUCUUCACAGUCUACUCUGUUGUGGCUAUUUCUGUGUUCUUCCAUUUUUGUGCCUAUAAUAAUCUCACUGUUGUUACCACAUAUAAAAUCAACUGUUCAUGAAUAUUUUCUAAUAGACUUUUCAUAAGUCCUAGUAAAAAAAUUGUAGUUUCAAUAAUUUUGACUCUCUCGUUUAACAUUUAUAUAAAACCUCUGGGCAACACUAUCCAUUGAGGCCAUGUUUGAUCAGUAUGAUGAUGAUGAUACUCAGCUGUAUUUCUCAACCCCUGGUGUUGCAGUCAAGACCUUUUCCCAGCAAUUGGAAGCUGUUGGGUCUAAAGCAGGGGGAGGGGAGGAACCUUGACUUUUACACAGAUUAUAUGUUACAUAUAAUUGGAACCCUUUCCUGGAAUGAGAGCUUCUCAUAGUUACUUAUGUCAUGGUCACCUUGUGCAUAGAGUAUUGCAAUGUGCUCUACAUGGGUGUGCUCUUGAAGACCACAUGUAAGCUGUGGCCAGUCCAGAAUGUAGUGGGGUGAGCAAUUAUGAACCCAUCAGUGUGCACCUGUUAACACUUCUGGCAUUUGAAGUAUUCUGAACGGAGUUCAAGGUGCUGGUUCCCACCUAUAAAGCCCUUCAUGACACAGGGCCUGAAUAUUUGGCAAGAAGGGUAUGUUGUGGACCUUGUCAGCCAAAGAAUUCUGAUUGGUAGGGUCCAGUAAUAAGAGCCUCCUCUGCUGUUGCCACCAUUUUGUGGAACAGUCAUUGCCCGGCCUUCAGGAAAGGUGUUAAAAUGUGGCCCUGCCAUCUUGCUUAGGGUGCAGAGCAUUUGUCUGUGGGACUGAUUAGCGCCUGAAAGCCCUCCUUCCACUUUUAACAUUGUCUUUUUAAAUUUUAUAUACAUAAAUAUUUUUAAUAUUUUGUUUGUACACUACCCAGAGUCCUUCUGUGAGGAAGAUGAGCAAUUUUAAAAGUUUGAUAAUAAAUAAAAAUUUCUCCUUGUUGCAGAAGUUUCAACAGAGCAGGUAUACUUUGUGUGUGCAUUAAGCACAGUCUCUGAUGGGACUCAGAGAGUGCAUUUUCUCUUUUAUAAUGCCUGCCCUUCAGAGUAGCAUCUCUCCAGAGCUUCAAGCUGUUCUGACUGUAACCCUAGGGUGAUGAUGAUUCUAUGGGUCAGGUCUUUCCACAUCUUUCGAUCUUGCACUGCUUCUUCAAGUUUUUCUAUGCUCUGGCUGGUGUCAGCUUUGAUGGUGUCCAGCUACCAAGUUCUUUGAUGGCCUGGUUUCUUUUACCACUAACACUUCCAAGUUUGUUCCAGUUCCCCUCCUUUGACGUGGCCAAAUAAGUGAAACAUAGUUUUGUGAUUUUUGCCUUCCUAUUGACAAGGUGUUAUGCACUCCAGUACUUGUUUGUUAUGGUGUUAUGCACUCCAGUACUUGUUUGUUAGUCACCUUUGCUGUCCAAGGAAUAGACCUUAGGAUACCACUGCAGAUUAAAAAUGUUAAUAUAAAUUUGUUAGCUACUUUCAGUGCUGUUGUGGAAAGGCAGGAUAAACAUAUUUUGAAUAAUUAAGGAAGUACUGAACACCAAAUUGAAGUUGCAUUCUUAAUUUCUAGACCAUUCUUUAUCACUGUGGAUUAAGAAAAAAACAUGCCCUCUGUAGUCAAGAUGUCAUGUUCUUCAUGAAACUGGAAAUCAGAAUGAUAGCGGGAAGAGUACAAAUAGGCCUGCCCCUUUUUUACCCAGUGAGGAACUGGGUCUUACUUACCACUAGACCAAGAGCCGUGGUGGCGCAGUGGUUAGAAUGUAAUAUUGCAGGCUGACUCUGCCAACUGCCAACAGUUUGAUCUUGACCAGCUCAAGGUUGACUCAGGCUUCUAGCCUUCUGAGGUCAGUAAAAUGAGGACCCAGAUUGUUGGGGGCAAUAUGCUGAUUCUGUAAGCUGCUUAGAGAGGGCUGUAAAGCAUUACGAAGCAGUAUAUAAGUCUAAGUGCUAUUGCUAUUUGGCUACCUAAAAUCUACCGAAUUCCUAACAACCAAAGCAAAUUCUGGAGAGGGUAAAACAAGCCAUCUACUCUUGCACAGAAUUUCUUGGACUUUUGCAAGAACUCCUGGAAUUUGACUUCAUUGGUUUUCUGCAAGAUUGGACAAGAAGCACCUUUUCUUUAUGGUAAUGGUAUAUGGUAAUGGUAUCGGUUGAUUCAAACAACAACUGGAGCUCUACUGGUAGUAUCAAAACCCUUAGAGUUUUCUCCUUUGCAUAUUAUUCUGCUAUCUCUCAAAGGGAAUCCUAUUCCCAAUCCUGUUAAUACACAUAAAUCUGUGAAUACAAGAAAAGAGAUGAAAGUCUCUUAUAGCUGAGUCCCAUAGUAUAUAUCAACUGCAGGCUUUCUUGUUUGGUCUUGUGGCCAAACCUGGAGUGAGAUGCAGUAGUACUGAGUUUCAUUUAUUUUAUUUUUCUCCCACUGUUGUUAUUGUUUAUAAAUAACUCAAAGCUGUGACAUACCUAAUCCUUCUUCCUCUUCCUAUUUUCCCCACAACAACCACCCUGUGAGGUAGGUUUGGCUGAGCGUGACUGGCCCAAAAUCCCCCAGCCAGUUUUCCAUGCUUAAGGCCAGGAGUAGAACUCAUGGUCUCAUGGUUUUCUAGCCCGAUGCCUUAACCACUAGACUAGACCAAACUGUGCCAUUGUUGAAUGUGAAGGAAAUGAAGAGAGUCACUUUUUUUAAAUUCAGCUGAAUGGGAAGUAAUUUACCUCUUGGGCAGAAUCCAGCCUGCCAGGUUUCAGUAAAAUUGUUUCAGAACGUUUUCAGUUACUCUUCCUUAAAAUCUGGCUUUUUGUCCAUGAGGGGGAUGUGUCUAUAGCUCUGUUGUUUGGGGAUAUAAUUUGUUUUUAAAAUGUAGCAAAUGUAGUCUUUCCUGUGGGGAACCACUGCCAAGUUUCAGACAGAUGGAUUUUGGUGCAAAUGGAAGUGAUUAUAUCAAUGUUUAUUAAUGACUCAUCACUUGUGUAAUAGAAGGACUUGUACUGAAAGAUGUUCCCUUUCAUUACAUCCUUAUCCAGCCCUGCGAGCAACAGAUAACCAGAGGGGCUGGACUUUUACUGCCACAGACUUUCAGUCUUACAGCCAGGUUAGAAGUAAAAGAUCUUAUGCCUGGGUAGCAUAAAAAGGAAAAUAAAGUCUGAAUUAUUGGAAUGUUUAUUCCAAUCCACAUGAAGCUGUAGGUGAGGAUAAAACUCUUCCUGGGUGAUUAAGCACCAACAUAAACAGGAUGUUGAUAGAACUAUAUAAGACAGCACAGAAAAGAGAUUGUAUGGAUGAAAUUACCAAUAAAUCUAAACAACUGAGUCAAAAGGGGAGGGAUACUAAUAACAAUAGUAAUAAAAACAAGAAGUUGGUUAAGGAAGGCCGAAAUGUCUAAUAUUAGUAGGUCUUCCAUGAAAAAAGAAUCAAGUGAAUUAGGGGAAAUUUUCUGGAGGAGGAAGCAAUCAAUUCCAUAACAUUUUAAAAACCACUGAACACAGUGAGCCAAAACAGGCCGUAACUUGAACAAUAUGCCAAACUGCAGAAGGAAGAAACCUGCAGAGCAAAUCAGGCAAGUCCCCAGUGGACUUGCAAGUACUCCUGUCUCCUUCAGUACCAUCAGUUGUUUGAGAAAGCAUUUUUUCUUAAACCACACCCCCCCCCCAUUUCCAAAAAUAGAGGAAAGGACCAGAUUGUUAGGAAUGUCCAAAUCUGGACUGAAGCUGAAUGGACUGGGCCCACUUCCUUCAAGGCAGAGGUCUUCAAACUUGGCAACUUUAAGACUUGUGGACUUCAAUUCCCAGAAUUUCUCAGCCAGCCAUCCAAAAGAUCUUACCAAAGUACCUCGCUCUUCUGCUUCCUAUGCACAACGCUUGUGGGUCUUCAGGCAGAUUCUUGGAAGUUAAACUUUGAUCAGGUUUAGCAGAUCAGAUUACAUGAGGAAGGAAUAAAGUAACAGCCUAUUCUCCAUGGAGGGGAGACUAGCAGUUUACAAUGUCUUAGAACAUUUUUUAUGUCAUAAAUACACAAAACACAAAGUUGUAGAAUAUUGCAGUAAUAAAUAUUGAGGUAGCUGCCAAGUGAAGCCAGUCUCACAAGGGCAAACACUUAACAAAAACUGCUCAAAGUGUUUCUCUGCUCUUCUCCAGGAAGCCUUCCACCAGCACCAGAAUGGAUUGGCAAGGACAGGUGAGGGAUCAGGGUAGGCUCAAGUUGCUGUCACUCUUAAACUGCAAGAGUCAGGUUUGGGUAAAGGCUUUAGAUGUGCCUCAUAAUCAGGCCUGCAAAUCUGAUUAAGGACAACUAUUAAUUUAAAAGUCUCACUAACAAUUUAAAAAAAAAA